GAUGAAGAACGUAGCGAAAUGCGAUAAGUAGUGUGAAUUGCAGAAUUCAGUGAAUCAUCGAAUCUUUGAACGCACAUUGCGGCCAUAGGUAUUCCUUUGGCCAUGCCUGUUCGAGCGUCAUUUACACCCUCAAGCCUAGCUUGGUGUUGGGCGUCUGUCCCGCCGUUUUCGCGCGCGGACUCGCCUCAAAGUCAUUGGCGGCGGUCGUGCCGGCCCCCUCGCGCAGCACAUUUGCGCUUCUCGGAGGCCCGGCGGAUCCGCGCUCCAGCAAGACCUUUCACGACUUGACCUCGGAUCAGGUAGGGAUACCCGCUGAACUUAAGCAUAUCAAUAGCGGAGGA
RNAcentral lists this unclassified non-coding RNA (341 nucleotides) under soil metagenome. RNAcentral describes it as "partial contains 5.8S ribosomal RNA, internal transcribed spacer 2, and large subunit ribosomal RNA". The stretch from base 1 to 120 matches the Rfam family "5.8S ribosomal RNA", at positions 35 to 154 of the family's 154-position model. The record is from RNAcentral.